This 53-nucleotide transfer RNA is filed under the name Proasellus ebrensis. RNAcentral describes it as "transfert RNA-L1(CTA)". The record is from RNAcentral. Lineage: Eukaryota; Metazoa; Arthropoda; Malacostraca; Isopoda; Asellidae.
AAAAUAGUAGUCUAACAAAGAUAUAAAGUUUAGAACUUUAAGAUGCACCUUCA